RNAcentral lists this ribosomal RNA (471 nucleotides) under uncultured organism. RNAcentral describes it as "partial 16S ribosomal RNA". It matches the Rfam family "Bacterial small subunit ribosomal RNA", at positions 335 to 797 of the family's 1533-position model. The record is from RNAcentral.
ACUCCUGCGGGAGGCAGCAGUGGGGAAUUUUGGACAAUGGGCGAAAGCCUGAUCCAGCAAUGCCGCGUGCAGGAUGAAGGCCUUCGGGUUGUAAACUGCUUUUGUACGGAACGAAAAAGCUCCUUCUAAUACAGGGGGCCCAUGACGGUACCGUAAGAAUAAGCACCGGCUAACUACGUGCCAGCAGCCGCGGUAAUACGUAGGGUGCGAGCGUUAAUCGGAAUUACUGGGCGUAAAGCGUGCGCAGGCGGUUAUGUAAGACAGAUGUGAAAUCCCCGGGCUCAACCUGGGAACUGCAUUUGUGACUGCAUGGCUAGAGUACGGUAGAGGGGGAUGGAAUUCCGCGUGUAGCAGUGAAAUGCGUAGAUAUGCGGAGGAACACCGAUGGCGAAGGCAAUCCCCUGGACCUGUACUGACGCUCAUGCACGAAAGCGUGGGGAGCAAACAGGAUUAGAAACCCCGGUAGUCCCA